RNAcentral lists this ribosomal RNA (497 nucleotides) under uncultured bacterium. RNAcentral describes it as "partial 16S ribosomal RNA". It matches the Rfam family "Bacterial small subunit ribosomal RNA", at positions 28 to 507 of the family's 1533-position model. The record is from RNAcentral.
GAUGAACGCUGGCGGCGUGCCUAAUACAUGCAAGUCGAGCGAACGGACGAGAAGCUUGCUUCUCUGAUGUUAGCGGCGGACGGGUGAGUAACACGUGGAUAACCUACCUAUAAGACUGGGAUAACUUCGGGAAACCGGAGCUAAUACCGGAUAAUAUUUUGAACCGCAUGGUUCAAAAGUGAAAGACGGUCUUGCUGUCACUUAUAGAUGGAUCCGCGCUGCAUUAGCUAGUUGGUAAGGUAACGGCUUACCAAGGCAACGAUGCAUAGCCGACCUGAGAGGGUGAUCGGCCACACUGGAACUGGGACACGGUCCAGACUCCUACGGGAGGCAGCAGUAGGGAAUCUUCCGCAAUGGGCGAAAGUCUGACGGAGCAACGCCGCGUGAGUGAUGAAGGUCUUCGGAUCGUAAAACUCUGUUAUUAGGGAAGAACAUAUGUGUAAGUAACUGUGCACAUCUUGACGGUACCUAAUCAGAAAGCCACGGCUAACUACGUG